CUCCACUGCGGUUGCGCAGCCUGCCGAAGAGCGUGCGGCUUCUACUGCGGCUGCGCAAGCUCGACGCGCGCACUCUUGUCUGCUUACGAGGGCUCCUCCCUUCAGCUUUGGUCCCUCGGGGCGUCUGGGCAGCCUACGCUUUCCGAAGUACAGUCUAUAUAAAGACUGUCCAGGACAAAAACUGGCCACUCCAUUCAGCAUUGACAGCAGUAUUUAAAGCUGGUGCAUGGUGAGGUGAAGUUUCUCAAGGGCAAAGACAAUGCCUUCAUGCAUGUUCAGUGUCUGCCCCCGUGGGCUUUGAAAUGAUCGCUGACAAUGGGGGAUCUGCAGUGACUUCUCUGCCUCUGCCAAAGCCCAGGGGUGCUGCUCCCUAAUUCUAAGGAUUCUAAUGAGACUCAGAGCAGGUGUAACACAGGGCAUGGAGCUUCCUGAGCAAGAGGCUGGCUAACAAACUGUGGACGUGGUACUUAGACACAUUAAGAGACAUUACAGGGACACCUGCAAGUAUGUCUCCCUGGGGAGAAGCCAAGUGCAGAUGCUAUGGCCACAGAUGAUAUGGUUUGGCUCUGUGUCCCCACUCAAAUCUCAUCUCAAGUUGUAAUCCCUGGAUGUCGAGGGAGGGACCUGGUGGGAGGUGAUUGGAUUGGUUCGCAUGAUAGUGAGGGAGUUCUCACGAGAUCUGGUUGUUUGAUAAGUGUCUGGCAUUUCUCCUGUGCUGUCUCUCCUGCCACCUUGUGAAGAAGGUGCCUGCUUCUCCUUCGCCUUCCGCCAUGAUUGUAAGUUUCCUGAGGCCUCCCUAGCAAUGCAGAACUGUGAGUCAAUUAAACUUCCUUUCUUUAUAAAUUA
Molecule: long non-coding RNA, 846 nt
Filed under: Homo sapiens (human)
Lineage: Eukaryota; Metazoa; Chordata; Mammalia; Primates; Hominidae
Description: TTC28 antisense RNA 1
Rfam family: TTC28 antisense RNA 1 conserved region 1 (bases 1-145)
Source: RNAcentral